AUAAAGUUUAAUUUUAGCUUAAAAAUUUAUUUAAUUUUUUAUUUACAUGUAAAUUUUAGUGGGUUUUUAAGAUUAUUUUAAAUAAAUAAUUUUAAUUUUUUAUUCGCAGUAUAAAGUUUUAUUAAUUUAAGAAAUUAAGAAUUAUAAAAAAAUUGUAUUAUUGACAAAAUUUGUGCCAGCAGUUGCGGUUAUACAAAAAAUAUGAAUAAAUUUUAUUGAUUAGUAAUAAAAAAAAAAUUAAAUUUAAUAAAAAUUAAAUUUAUAAGGUGAAAUUUAAAAUUUAAAAUAAUUAUGAUUAAAUUUUUUGAUUUUAUUAAAUUUAAAAAUUAAACUAGGAUUAGAUACCCUAUUAUUUUAAUUGUAAAAAUAUUCAUUAAAGUAGUAUUAGCUAUGAUCUUGAAAUUUAAAGAUUUUGGCGGUAUUUUAGUCUAUUCAGAGGAACCUGUCCUAUAAUUGAUAAUCCACGAUAAAUUAUACUUAAUUUAUUAAUUUGUAUAUCGUCGUUAUUAAGUAUUUUAUAAGAAUUAAAUAUUUAAGUUUUCAUAUAAGAAAAUAUAUCAGAUCAAGGUGCAGUUUAUAAUUAAGAAGAGAUGGGUUACAAUAAAUUUAUUUAUAUGGUUUUAUAUAUGAAAAUUUAUAAAUAAAGUGGAUUUGAUAGUAAUAAUAUUUAUAUUAAUUUUAUGGUUAAAGCUCUAAAAUGUGUACAUAUCGCCCGUCGCUCUUAUUAUAAGAUAAGAUAAGUCGUAACAAAGUAGAUGUACUGGAAAGUGUAUCUGGAAUGU
This 782-nucleotide non-coding RNA is filed under the name Oreodytes davisii. The record is from RNAcentral. Lineage: Eukaryota; Metazoa; Arthropoda; Insecta; Coleoptera; Dytiscidae.